RNAcentral lists this ribosomal RNA (461 nucleotides) under uncultured bacterium. Its description in RNAcentral is "partial 16S ribosomal RNA". It matches the Rfam family "Bacterial small subunit ribosomal RNA", at positions 338 to 795 of the family's 1533-position model. The record is from RNAcentral.
CCUACGGGUGGCAGCAGUGAGGAAUAUUGGUCAAUGGGCGCGAGCCUGAACCAGCCAAGUAGCGUGAAGGAUGAAUGCCCUACGGGUUGUAAACUUCUUUUAUAAAGGAAUAAAGUGAGGCCCGUGUGCAUUUUUUGUAUGUACUUUAUGAAUAAGGAUCGGCUAACUCCGUGCCAGCAGCCGCGUGAAUACGGAGGAUCCGAGCGUUCUCCGGAUUUAGUGGGUUUAAAGGGAACGUAGAUGGGUUGUUAAGUCAGUUGUGAAAGUUUGCGGCUGAACCGUGAUAUUGCAAUUGAUACUGGCAGUCUUGAGUACAGUUGAGGUAGGCGGAAUUCGUGGUGUAGCGGUGAAAUGCUUAGAUAUCACGAAGAACUCCGAUUGCGAAGGCAGCUUACUAACCUGACACUGACAUUGAUGCUCGAAAGUGUGGGUAUCAAACAGGAUUAGAUACCCUAGUAGUC